This 73-nucleotide transfer RNA is filed under the name Marmota marmota marmota (Alpine marmot). It matches the Rfam family "tRNA". From Rfam's summary of the family: Transfer RNA (tRNA) molecules are approximately 80 nucleotides in length. RNAcentral also lists the same sequence under 3 other names. Lineage: Eukaryota; Metazoa; Chordata; Mammalia; Rodentia; Sciuridae. The record is from Rfam by way of RNAcentral.
AGGGAUAUAACUCAGUUGGUAGAGUGCUUGCCUCACAUGCACAAGGCCCUGGGUUCAAUCCCCAGCACCACAA